AGAGCGAACGCUGGCGGCAGGCCUAAUACAUGCAAGUCGAACGGCUCUUCGGAGCAGUGGCGGACGGGUGAGUAACGCGUGGGAAUGUGCCCUUUGGUACGGAACAACUGAGGGAAACUUCAGCUAAUACCGUAUGUGCCCUUCGGGGGAAAGAUUUAUUGCCAUUGGAGCAGCCCGCGUUGGAUUAGCUAGUUGGUGGGGUAAAGGCCCACAAGGCGACGAUCCAUAGCUGGUCUGAGAGGAUGAUCAGCCACACUGGGACUGAGACACGGCCCAGACCUCCUACGGGAGGCAGCAGUAGGGAAUCUUGCGUCAAGUGGGACGAAAGCCUGACGCAGCCAUCGCCGCGUAGAUGAUGGAAGUCGUAGUAUUAGUAAAUUCGUUACAACGGG
This 392-nucleotide ribosomal RNA is filed under the name uncultured soil bacterium. RNAcentral describes it as "bacterial SSU rRNA". It matches the Rfam family "Bacterial small subunit ribosomal RNA", at positions 26 to 443 of the family's 1533-position model. The record is from RNAcentral.